This is a small nuclear RNA of Artibeus jamaicensis (Jamaican fruit-eating bat), 107 nucleotides long. NCBI's taxonomy places the organism in Eukaryota, Metazoa, Chordata, Mammalia, Chiroptera, Phyllostomidae. The record is from RefSeq and is a predicted model, not a curated record.
GUGCUCACUGCAGCAGCACAUAUACUAAAAUCAUAACAACACAGAGAAUAUUAGUAUGGCCUCUGAGCAAGGAUGACACGUGAAUUUGUAGAGCGUUCCAUAUUUUU